GGCCAAGCUAAUAAGGGUGUACGAUGGAUGCCUUGGCGAAGACUGGCGAUGAAGGGCGUGGCAAGCUGCGAUAAGCCCCGGUGAGGUGCAAGCAACCUUUGACCCGGGGAUUCCCGAAUGGGGUAACCCAUCCACCGUAAGGUGGAUAUCCUACCGCAAGGUAGGAGGCGAACCGAGGGAAGUGAACCAUCUCAGUACCUCGAGGAAAAGAAAAAAAUUUUGAUUCCCUGAGUAGCGGCGAGCGAAACGGGAACAGCCCAAACCGGAUGAUGUUAUAGCAUAGCCGCGUUCAUCAUCCGGGGUUGUAGGACCUGACACGGAAGGGGCUAUACUUCCAGCAUGUCACAACCUUUUGGGUUAGUCGAAUGGUCUGGAAAGACCAGCCAAAGAAGGUGAUAGCCCUGUAGACGAAAACUCAAAAGGCAUGCGUCAGGCACCUGAGUACCACGGAGGAACCGAGGAGCUCUGUGGGAAUCUGCCACGACCACGUGGCAAGGCUAAAUACACGUCUUCGACCGAUAGUGGACAAGUACCGUGAGGGAAAGGUGAAAAGAACCCCGGGAGGGGAGUGAAAUAGAACCUGAAAUCGUACACCUACAAGCAGUCGGAGUCCGCCAUUUUUAAUGGCGGGUGACGGCGUGCCUAUUGAAGAAUGAGCCAGCGAGUUACUGGCGGUAGCGAGGUUAAUCCACCUAAGUGGAGGAGCCGUAGCGAAAGCGAGUGGUGCAAAUAGCGCCCAUUAGUUACCGUCAGUAGACCCGAAGCCAGGUGAUCUAUCCAUGGGCAGGAUGAACCCUUCGUAACAGAAGGGGGAGGUCCGAACCGGUGACAGUUGCAAAUGUCUCGGAUGACCUGUGGAUAGGAGUGAAAGGCUA
RNAcentral lists this ribosomal RNA (875 nucleotides) under Candidatus Omnitrophota bacterium. Its description in RNAcentral is "partial 23S ribosomal RNA". It matches the Rfam family "Bacterial large subunit ribosomal RNA", at positions 1 to 831 of the family's 2925-position model. Lineage: Bacteria; Pseudomonadati; Candidatus Omnitrophota. The record is from RNAcentral.